This 274-nucleotide ribosomal RNA is filed under the name uncultured bacterium. RNAcentral describes it as "partial 16S ribosomal RNA". It matches the Rfam family "Bacterial small subunit ribosomal RNA", at positions 523 to 796 of the family's 1533-position model. The record is from RNAcentral.
AUACGGAGGGUGCAAGCGUUACUGGGAAUCACUGGGCGUAAAGCGCGCGCAGGCGGCUAUUUAAGUUGGAUGUGAAAGCCUACGGCUCAACCGUAGAACUGCAUCCAAAACUAUUUAGCUAGAGUGUGGGAGAGGAAGAUGGAAUUAGUUGUGUAGGGGUAAAAUCCGUAGAGAUAACUAGGAAUACCAAAAGCGAAGGCAAUCUUCUGGAACACUACUGACGCUGAGGCGCGAAAGCGUGGGGAGCAAACGGGAUUAGAAACCCUAGUAGUCC